Molecule: ribosomal RNA, 652 nt
Filed under: uncultured bacterium
Lineage: Bacteria
Description: bacterial SSU rRNA
Rfam family: Bacterial small subunit ribosomal RNA
Source: RNAcentral
GGGAUAACAGUUGGAAACGGCUGCUAAUACCGCAUAAGCGCACAGUACCGCAUGGUACAGUGUGAAAAACUCCGGUGGUGUGAGAUGGACCCGCGUCUGAUUAGCUAGUUGGCAGGGCAACGGCCUACCAAGGCGACGAUCAGUAGCCGACCUGAGAGGGUGACCGGCCACAUUGGGACUGAGACACGGCCCAAACUCCUACGGGAGGCAGCAGUGGGGAAUAUUGCACAAUGGGGGAAACCCUGAUGCAGCGACGCCGCGUGAGCGAAGAAGUAUUUCGGUAUGUAAAGCUCUAUCAGCAGGGAAGAAGAAAUGACGGUACCUGACUAAGAAGCACCGGCUAAAUACGUGCCAGCAGCCGCGGUAAUACGUAUGGUGCAAGCGUUAUCCGGAUUUACUGGGUGUAAAGGGAGCGCAGGCGGAAGGCUAAGUCUGAUGUGAAAGCCCGGGGCUCAACCCCGGUACUGCAUUGGAAACUGGUCAUCUAGAGUGUCGGAGGGGUAAGUGGAAUUCCUAGUGUAGCGGUGAAAUGCGUAGAUAUUAGGAGGAACACCAGUGGCGAAGGCGGCUUACUGGACGAUAACUGACGCUGAGGCUCGAAAGCGUGGGGAGCAAACAGGAUUAGAUACCCUGGUAGUCCACGCCGUAAACG